AAGGUUUCUCUCACAACUUGACAUGCACUCUGCGAGUCUCCUGGGGUUGUUUGAGAAGCAGAAGGGGCAGCGAGGCAAAAAAUGAGAGGACAUGGCUACCAGAAUGACAGAUGACAUUGAUACUGCCAGGGAGAGGACUCUGCAUUUUCUUCAACGAGGACCCUGAUGACCUUGUCCAGGAGUACGUGGACAUGACUGAGGCUACUACACUAAGUGCCAUAGAAGCAACAACUGUUGGAAUCUACAUAUCUAGAGGAACUCCCAACGGUGACAAUAAUGAUGUCGGAGUUGUUAUCAAAGGUGUGGUUGUGCUUCGCGAUCUUGACAAUGUGGCCCUUGCAUCUGCAAUGCUGUUUGGGCUUUGUUACUGCUUAAAUUUGAGGUAUCCACAAAAACUUCCUUACACCUUUGAGGCUUUUCAAAAAAUAAUAAUGGAAUUGGAUGCAGCCCAACUUUCAAAAAAGGUGCAAAGCCUGAAAGCUAAAAUGCAUCAGUAAUGACCAAUCCCUGUUUUUGAAAAAACUGAUGUGGCUUGUUCUCUUCCACCACUAGUAUUUGUUAAGCAAAGAUGACUGCAACAGUUAGCCAAUACAGUAAGUGUUAA
Long non-coding RNA from Girardinichthys multiradiatus, 604 nucleotides. RefSeq lists it as uncharacterized. The record is from RefSeq and is a predicted model, not a curated record. Lineage: Eukaryota; Metazoa; Chordata; Actinopteri; Cyprinodontiformes; Goodeidae. The transcript has 3 exons.